RNAcentral lists this transfer RNA (74 nucleotides) under Rubrobacter xylanophilus. RNAcentral's name for it is "tRNA-Thr". It matches the Rfam family "tRNA". Rfam says of the family: Transfer RNA (tRNA) molecules are approximately 80 nucleotides in length. Their secondary structure includes four short double-helical elements and three loops (D, anti-codon, and T loops). The record is from RNAcentral. Lineage: Bacteria; Bacillati; Actinomycetota; Rubrobacteria; Rubrobacterales; Rubrobacteraceae.
GCCCCUGUAGCUCAGUCGGCAGAGCGCUUCCAUGGUAAGGAAGAGGUCACCGGUUCAAGUCCGGUCGGGGGCUC